RNAcentral lists this RNase P RNA (355 nucleotides) under candidate division TM6 bacterium RIFCSPHIGHO2_12_FULL_32_22. RNAcentral describes it as "RNase P RNA component class A". It matches the Rfam family "Bacterial RNase P class A". Rfam says of the family: Ribonuclease P (RNase P) is a ubiquitous endoribonuclease, found in archaea, bacteria and eukarya as well as chloroplasts and mitochondria. The record is from RNAcentral.
GUUAUAGACUGGACAAUCGCUAGAAAUAGAGGAAAGUCCGGACUCCUAGCGAAGAUGGUGCCCUGAAAGAUUUAUAUCAAUCAGGGGUACGUUUAAAAAGCGUAACGGAAAGUGCCACAGAAAAGAACCGCCGUCCGCCUCUGCUGUAAAGCUAUGGCGUGAUUGAGUAAGGGUGAAAAUGUGCGGUAAGAGCGCACAAUCUAGUCUAGAGAUAGGCUAAAUGGGUAAACCCCACCAGGAGCAAGACAAAGUAAGUAUAUGAGACUUCGCUCUCUUAUAUACGGGUGUGUCGCUUAGAUAAAUGGUUGUCACUCUUUAUAGAGUACAGAAUCCGGCUUAUAGGUUUAUAACGAGU